RNAcentral lists this ribosomal RNA (330 nucleotides) under uncultured bacterium. Its description in RNAcentral is "bacterial SSU rRNA". It matches the Rfam family "Bacterial small subunit ribosomal RNA", at positions 568 to 898 of the family's 1533-position model. The record is from RNAcentral.
CGUGUAGGCGGUGCGGUAAGUUGGGCGUGAAAUCCCCGAGCCUUAACUCGGGUGGGCCGUUCAAGACUGCUGUGCUAGGGUGCGGGAGAGGGAAGUGGAAUUUCCGGUAGUAGCGGUGAAAUGCGUAGAUAUCGGGAGGAACACCUGCGGCGAAGGCGGCUUCCUGGACCGUAACCGACGCUGAGGCGCGAAAGCUAGGGGAGCAAACAGGAUUAGAUACCCUGGUAGUCCUAGCCCUAAACGAUGAGCACUGGGUGUGGCCCCUCACGGGGCCGUGCCGAAGCUAACGCAUUAAGUGCUCCGCCUGGGGAGUACGGUCGCAAGGCUGAA